RNAcentral lists this long non-coding RNA (904 nucleotides) under Homo sapiens (human). Its description in RNAcentral is "HSALNT0365344". The record is from RNAcentral. Lineage: Eukaryota; Metazoa; Chordata; Mammalia; Primates; Hominidae.
UACCAGUCCCUUCAACCCACAGCCAGGAGCUAGGCAAACACCCACAGAGGAGGGAGGACACACUUUAACCCUACAUUCAGCUUGACGAGCCAAACUCUCUGAACCACAGGAGAUAAAACUUCUGCCAUGGAACUGCUAAGGUAGAUAAUCAGCAACCCCCCAAGACUGUGCCUGCUGCACAACUACAGAACGCAGUGGAAGACACGCUGAAUUCUGAGUCAGAAGGUUGACUUUCUAGCUGUGGGGACUUGGCCAAACCUCCUCAGAGCUUCAGUUUUCUCAUCUGUAAAAUAGAGAUCUUAAUCCCUACCAAUCUCACAGGACUGCUGAGAGUAUCAGAUGAGAUUCUCAAAGCAAUCCUGUAUGGUGAGAAUUAUUUUUAUUUUACCGACAAAGCUGCUGAAGAUCAGAGACAUUGAGUUACUCAUAGAAGAUAUACAGACAGAGCCAAGAUUCAAAUCCCUUGGGUGUCUGGCUCCAAAGUGGAAAUUUUCUCCACGGUGCCAAAGGACUCAUAAACAGAAUGUACAAAGGACUCUUACAAAUCAGUAAUAAAAGGACAAUCAAUGUUUUUAAACAAGCAGAAGACUUCGAUAAACACCACAUAAAAGAGAAUGCAUGCAUGGCCAAUGAGAACAUAAAAAAGAUGCUCAGCGUUGUUGGUCGUCAGGGAAGUGCAGAUUGAAAAUGCAAUGGGAUACCACUACACACCCGCCAGAAUGGUUAAAAUUUAAAAAUUUUAACAGUACCAAAUGUUAGAGAGGCUGUGAAGCAGCAGGAUGUUUUAUGCAUGGCCAGCAAAAGUAUAAAAUGGUAGAGCCAUUUGGAAAACUGGCAUUUUCUCAUAAAUAUUCACCUAUCAUGUGAUCUAAAAAUUCCAAAAGAAAUGAAACUAUAUGUCUAC